RNAcentral lists this long non-coding RNA (209 nucleotides) under Vigna radiata. Its description in RNAcentral is "long non-coding RNA (VRAD_LNC013625)". The record is from RNAcentral. Lineage: Eukaryota; Viridiplantae; Streptophyta; Magnoliopsida; Fabales; Fabaceae.
CUUUGUGCUGUGAAGUUUCUGGUAGACGUCUAUGUGUGUGCGUAGGAGGAAGAAGAUAGAGGAAGAAGAUAGAGGAAGAAGACAGACCUUAAGGGAUGUCGGACAUCCGUUUCACCUUAAACGGAUGUUGACAUCUGUUGACGGAUAAUCAGAUCCGUUUAACGAUUUAGGCUAUUUUUAACAAUAAAUUACAUACCUCUCCGCGCUUA